CGCGUAUACAAUUUGCCUUUUACUGGAGGAUAGCCAAGAGAAAUUUUGAUUAAUACUCCAUAGUAUUAAUUGAUCACCUGAUCGAUUAAUUAAAGUUCCGGCGGUAAAAGAUGAGUAUGCGUCCUAUUAGCUAGAUGGUAAGGUAACGGCUUACCAUGGCGACGAUAGGUAGGGGUCCUGAGAGGGAGAUCCCCCACACUGGUACUGAGACACGGACCAGACUCCUACGGGAGGCAGCAGUGGGGAAUAUUGCACAAUGGGGGAAACCCUGAUGCAGCCAUGCCGCGUGUGUGAAGAAGG
This 300-nucleotide ribosomal RNA is filed under the name uncultured Flavobacteriaceae bacterium. Its description in RNAcentral is "bacterial SSU rRNA". It matches the Rfam family "Bacterial small subunit ribosomal RNA", at positions 114 to 414 of the family's 1533-position model. The record is from RNAcentral. Lineage: Bacteria; Pseudomonadati; Bacteroidota; Flavobacteriia; Flavobacteriales; Flavobacteriaceae.